Molecule: RNA transcript, 2448 nt
Organism: Triticum dicoccoides
Lineage: Eukaryota; Viridiplantae; Streptophyta; Magnoliopsida; Poales; Poaceae
Exons: 12
Source: RefSeq, a predicted model, not a curated record
CAAUGCACCGCGCGAGGGAAAAAAACAGCCAGCAGGGGUCCCGUGAAAAUAUCUCCUCUCCCCUGCCCUCUCUCCCGUGUUCUCCCCUCCCCUGAUCCCCGUUCCCUCCCAUCGCGCCGCCGGCUCCACGCGGCGCCGACGCGACCUUCUCUCCCCCAACGCUCGAGAUCCCCUUCUUCCCUCCGGCCGCGCCGCCGGCUCCACGCGGCGCCCGUGCUCACCCGCUCAUCCAUGGCUCCAUCCCUCCUCCUUGUCCGAUGGAGCGACCGGCAUCGCUCCGUCUCGAACUGCUCCAGGAGAGAGAAAGAGGAGAGGGAGGUGUGGCGGCGGACGGGAGAGGGUCACCGGCUGCUGCCGGCCUGCGCGGACGAAGUCGGGCGCGACCUCGCGGUCUGUGGCGGCUCAAUCUGCUCCUGGAUCGGUCGAGGGCCACGCCAAGGUCGUUGAUCUGCUGCUCGACCGCGAUGCGGAGGCCAUCGUCCAGGACCAGUGGGGAAGCACGACGAAUGUUUUACUACACAUGGUGUUAACUAAGCGCAUGAAGAUUAUGCCUUCUUCAAUGCAAUAUUAUGCUGACACUUUUGAGAGAGGAGAAGAAAGAGAGGGCGACAUGCUGGCCGACGACGAUGCAGCCUCGGAAGAGGAGGAGGAGAAGAAAGAAGAAAGAGAGGGUGAGAAGAGUCCGAUUCUGGUCAAGAGAUGCCAUGGGGAAGAUGCUGGCCUUAUUUCUCACACCCCGAAAGUCACAUUACUUCUAUGAACCAGAAGAACUAGAGAAGGGUAACUUAACGUUGUAUUCAGAUCUGGGUUGACAUAUGAAGACGUGAGAGCUAAAGCAAAUAGACUGCGAGGUUAUCAGGAUACUGGAGAAAUGGGUUUUGCUUUAGUCCUUGUUAAUGGCACUGGUUUUUCUGGUGCGAGUAAAGCCCGACAGUGGUGUACUCCAGGCAAUGUGAAGCUGGGACUUCCCUAUCAGGCGUGACCUUGUAGCCAAAUCCAUGAGGAGUCGGAGGCAGUUGCAGCAACUAACCAUGAAGCGACGGCAGAGAUCCAGAUUAUCUGUCUGACCAGCACAAGGUGGCAACAACAGUAGUGGAGAAGGCAUGAAGAGGCCCACAUCUGAAAAUCCGUUCUGCUGACUGAUCAAGGGAGAUGGUCCCAGCAUCCACUGUGACAAUGUUGUCCAGAACAUGGACUCUGGAAACUGAAAAGUAUUUUGCUUCCAGGCGCAUAAAGGCCACCGAUCGGAUCAGCGCGAAGAAACCCGUUCGGACCGCCGCCGCAAGCCUCGCCUCAGCAACGGAUCAACCUCUGCACCUACAUCCACUUCGACAGGUCCUCAGUCAAAGCAGGUCCUUUCCGAAAAGCUUUGAUACGACAUGUGCGCUGGAAAGCUCCAUCUUGUUGUUGGACUUGGUGAAGCUAAUGGGCCCGAGUCCAAAGUGGCCUGAAAUAACGGAGAGUACUGAACCUGGGCAAAAAACAGUCGAUAGGUCUGACAUUACCGUUCGAGUGUAUCGCUUGAAACUUCUUGAGUACCUACAGAAAAUGAGGACAGGGAGGAUGUUUGGGCCUAUAGUUGCUGUUAUCCACACAGGGGAGUUUCAUAAGAGGGAGCUGCCGCAUGCGUGUGUCCUUGUUUGGCAAGAGAAGCAUCAUGACCGGGGUUCUCAACUGACUGAUAUUGAUGCUGAUGCUCCUGCUACUAUGCCUCCUAACACGAUGGAAACUACAGUUCCUAUGCCACUUAAGCUUAACAGGGGUGCUACUGCUGCUGCUUUUUUUUUUGAACCGGGCGUGCCCCUUUCCAUUUAAGAUAAAUGGAAAUACAACAGUCUCCGAUACAACCAGGAAGCAAGGAAAGAGAGGCAGCGAGUUCAAUGCACUGCCAGGAAACCCACUGUGCUCGCCCGCCAUCGAAACGAGCACCAUGGGGCGAAAACCUGACAUCACCUACUUAGUUUGAAUCUAGCUAUUACAAACCAGGGAAAAGGCACAAACAAAGAGGUGCCAGAUAACAUAAAGUAUGUAGACUUCAUUUCAUCAAAAACGCUGAAGUAGUGGUUGAUCCAAGUUUUCAGAUAAGCAUGCAUGUGUGCUUUGUUCGCUAAAUUGGUCCUCGCAACCUUUGCUGUGGCUACUAAACCACCACCUGCAAGGACAAGUGAAGACUGCUACCCUGUUGCUGUCCUCAUACGCUUGUAUUUUCAGUGUUUUGAACAAACCCAGGCUUUAGCACUAAUAAAGGUAGCCUGGACAACAAAGCCGUUUUCAAUAUCCAUGAAACGUGCAACGAUGACUCCAUCUAAUGUUCGUCGCCUCAUAAGAUGUAUCUCUAGCUAUCUACCAUGCUUCCUAAUAACAUUGUAAAUAAUCGAUCAAAAACUUCUUAUAACCACUAUGUAUCAUCACUAAGUAUCUAUCUACCAGCAGUAAGUAUUUAUUAUU